UCUAUGUGCUGAGCUCCCAGCUUGGGUGCUGAAGCUUGAAGAAAUAGUUGUAGGUCUUCUAACUUCAUGCCUCUUUGUUUUGAUUCUUGCACGAGUGGAGUGGUACAGAUACUUUCUAAAACUUGGUGAUAGGAAAAAAAAGAACAUUUCUGAUGUUAAGAGAGAUAGAUUCAUUAUGCAGAUGGAGAGUUAAGUGACGGUGAGACUUUGGAGGCAACCAAAUAGAUGCAUCAUUGUUCAUGCCGCUUGUUCAUGCUUGAUAACAACUGAAAAGUGACAGUGAAACUUUGGCAUUAGGAUAGGUCUCGAACUUCGAAUCUAUUCAGGCAGCAAGGUUGAAAUGGUUGCUUGCUUCCGACGGUGCUUGUUCAUGCCUCUUGUUUUGAUUCCAGCACAAGUGGUGUACACUCUCUUAAGAUAUUGCUAAAUAUUUGCAGACUCUCCGUUGCAAGCUGUUCAGGCUCAAGAUAACAGAGACAGGACCAAAUCAGACGCAAAUUUGGCUUCGUCAGACUGGGAGCCCCAAUGGAUGGUUAUGUGAACUUGUUGAGCCAGGAAAACGAUACCGUAAUUUGGGAUGAUAAUAUGUUUGGUAGCCCACACGAGGAGCAACAAUUGUCUGAUAGGUUAUCUCAGAAAAAGCAGAAGACCACCUCUAAUUGAAGUCGGUACGUCUAGGAACCAACUCAAGUCAUUAUGAUGAUAGAACGGAUUGUCCUACUCUAGAAAGUGAGCCCGUGGAAAGGCCACUUGGUAGGAAGACAGAGAAAGAACAACAACGAGGUAAAAAUUCUAACUUGUCAUCUAGUAAUGUGUUUAUGUGGAAGCAUUAGAGAAUAUGUGGUCAAAGAAGAAAGAGAUAGAGGCCAUGAAAGAGCUCAGUAAAAAAAGAGCAGUAUGAUCGAAGAUAUACACUAGAAGUAGAGAGGAUUGUAAAUGAUAUGAAAAUGAUUGAAAUAAAGGAAAGGGAGCUAGAAUUUAGGAGAUGGUUGGAAGAUGAGAGGAUUAUGAGUAUGGACAUUACUGCUAUGAGUGAGCCACGACGACAAUACUAUUAGAGCUUGCAAAAUAAGAUCAUCGUUUGACGACUUUGUAGGCUUGGAUUGAGCUGCUUCAUUGAUAUUUUGUUGUAUGAACUACUAUGUGGAUCAUAAUUUUGUUGUAUGAACUUUUAUGUGGACCAUCAUUUUGUUGUA
Phragmites australis (common reed) is the source of this 1196-nucleotide long non-coding RNA. RefSeq lists it as uncharacterized. The record is from RefSeq and is a predicted model, not a curated record. The transcript has 2 exons. Lineage: Eukaryota; Viridiplantae; Streptophyta; Magnoliopsida; Poales; Poaceae.